UUUUUAUUGGAUGUUGACUGUCACGUGUUCCAUUUUUAUUGGACGUUGACGUUAAAUAUGUACACGAAAUUAACAUCUAAUAAAAGCGUUACAUGUGAUGGUCAAUGUUC
Molecule: non-coding RNA, 110 nt
Organism: Glycine max (soybean)
Lineage: Eukaryota; Viridiplantae; Streptophyta; Magnoliopsida; Fabales; Fabaceae
Source: Rfam